This 136-nucleotide ribosomal RNA is filed under the name uncultured Trebouxiophyceae. Its description in RNAcentral is "partial small subunit ribosomal RNA". It matches the Rfam family "Eukaryotic small subunit ribosomal RNA", at positions 1670 to 1804 of the family's 1831-position model. Lineage: Eukaryota; Viridiplantae; Chlorophyta; Trebouxiophyceae. The record is from RNAcentral.
CGCCCGCCGCUCCUACCGAUUGGGUGUGCUGGUGAAGUGUUCGGAUUGGCGUCUGGGGACGGUUUCCGCCUCCAGUUGCCGAGAAGUUCAUUAAACCCUCCCACCUAGAGGAAGGAGAAGUCGUAACAAGGUUUCC